Molecule: ribosomal RNA, 440 nt
Filed under: uncultured bacterium
Lineage: Bacteria
Description: partial 16S ribosomal RNA
Rfam family: Bacterial small subunit ribosomal RNA
Source: RNAcentral
CCUACGGGAGGCAGCAGUGGGGGAUAUUGCACAAUGGGGGAAGCCCUGAUGCAGCGACGCCGCGUGUGGGAAGACGGUCUUCUGGAUUGUAAACCACUGUCACAAGGGACGAAAAUGACGGUACCUGGGGAGGAAGCUCCGGCUAACUACGUGCCAGCAGCCGCGGUACUACGUAGGUAGCAAGCGUUGUCCGGAAUUACGGGGUGUAAAGGGAGCGUAGGCGGGGAUGCAAGUUGGGGGUAAAAACUACCGGCUCAACCGAUAGUCGCACUCAAAACUGCAGCUUUUGAGUGAAGUAGAGGCAGGCGGAAUUCCUAGUGUAGCGGUGAAAUGCGUAGAUAUUAGGAAGAACACCAGUGGCGAAGGCGGCCUGCUGGGCUUUUACUGACGCUGAGGCUCGAAAGUGUGGGGAGCAAACAGGAUUAGAUACCCGUGUAGUC